UGGGUAAGCUAACAGACAUCCCAACAUUUUUGGUUUGCUAGAUUGUUGGUAGGGUUUGUUGAGUUUGAGUUGGUGUAAUGUAAUAACUAAAACAAUCUGAUGUGAGAGACAGUACAGCUGAGAAACAGCCAGUAAAAGCUUUGAGAUGCUUCAAGACCAGAUAUUUUUGUCUUAUAACCAAAUCCUCGAGUCCAACAUAUUGGCAUAUAGAUAGAUUGGAGGCUCAUUGUUUAUCUACCAUUAGACUGGAGCCUGGAGGAUAGGUCUGAGGAUGUUGUGGCAUCAUAAUAAAUCACACUCUAUUGGGGUUACUAGGAAGCAAUCCUUUUAUUUGGUUUGUUUAAAUAAUAGGCACAAUCAUUGAUUGGCAUGCCUCAAUGCAAAUGGUCUGUUUAUUAACGAACACCGUUUCAUGGUUACUUAUGCAAUACUCUCUACUUUGGCCAGCAGGUAGAUUCCUGAAGUGGUGGUGAAUCGCUUGAAUGGGUGAUUGACCCUCUACUUUUGAAAUGCUUGUCAUGCAUAGUAUUCUUUGUCAUGAGAGUAGGAAGAAUGAGAAUGCACCAUUAAAACAAUGAGAGAGACUUGAACUAGGGUGAAGCCAUUUCAAAAGUAAUAUAAGCAGAAUUGCAGGAUUCAGUUUCCAUGAUUCAUACAAUCUGGAAGGUGAUGUUGUUAAGAUGCGAACCAGUGCUCAACUAUGGGUACCACAUUUCAUUCUCUUCAUGAAGGCAUUUACUCUAUGCUGUACGAUUAGGAAUCAGUCCAGGCAUUUACGCAAGUGACGUAUGACAAGGAAUCAAUCCACCAUGAUUUAAAGGAUGAUAAUUGGUCCGUGUCCUGCAAUAGUUUUAUUUGCGAAACUUGAAACCUUUCAAGUGAUUUACUGUUCUUACAUAAAUAUGGUUUUAUGUAUUAUUGUUCCA
Molecule: non-coding RNA, 926 nt
Organism: Camellia sinensis
Lineage: Eukaryota; Viridiplantae; Streptophyta; Magnoliopsida; Ericales; Theaceae
Source: RefSeq, a predicted model, not a curated record